AAGGUUUAGUGUAUGUGUUCUGCUGUGAGUGAUUCAGAGACACUGAUAUUUACUGUACUCUCGACACAGCCUUAAACGAGAAGGCUUUAUGGAACUGUUUGUAUAGCCAGCGAAGACGAAGAAGAAGGAAGAAGAAGUGUGAUGUAAACAUAUAUUACUAGUGACGUAUAUUUGAUCGCGUUAUACCCAACGUACGACCAUUCGUAUACGACUAAUCCACGACCAGUAUACGACUAAUCCACGACCAGUAUACGACUAACACAAGCUCCACAGACUAGGUCAACAAGAUGGGUUCGUUCAUGGGCCACGUGUUGCCAGGCCCGUUCUUCUGCCUCUUUCCGGUGUGGUGGAUUUACAACAUCUUCAGGAGGUUCCACCUGUGCCGGAGGACACUCACAGUAGGGGAGGGAGGCAGCUCCACCACCUACCGCAACACCUGCACCUUCACCUGCUCCUGCUGCCCCUCCCUCCCUAGAAGGUUUCAUCAAGGUGGUUUCCGUCAUCAUCGGUAUGACGGGUGAGCGUAAAAGCUGAUGUACUUAUUCAUUUACUUAAUCAUCUAUUUAAUUAUUCACUAUUCAACUAUCCUUAUUUUAGAGUAUCAAGCCUGUGUAACCUGAUCUUCUUUUCGUUACGCCUUUCCAUUCUAAAUAUAGGCUUCAAUUCCAUUUAUCCUGAUCUUCAUUUGUUUGUAUAACACUUUUCAGUACGAUACCUCCUUAUACAAAAACCCUAUAAUAA
Homarus americanus (American lobster) is the source of this 741-nucleotide long non-coding RNA. RefSeq lists it as uncharacterized. The record is from RefSeq and is a predicted model, not a curated record. Lineage: Eukaryota; Metazoa; Arthropoda; Malacostraca; Decapoda; Nephropidae. The transcript has 2 exons.